AGGUUUCCAAGUAGCUGGAGUUGUAACCAUGGAGCAGCGCACACAGCUAGUAAUAGGUGUCAGAUAUUAUGUCCCAGCAAUGAGAAAGUAACUAAGGCAGGUACAGUGAGCAGCUCUUCGCAGUCCUGAAGUCCAUGUUCCCAGGCACCAGCCACAGGUCAAGCUCAGAAGUGGGUAUUUGGAGGACAGCAGUCUCAAGCUUGCCAUGGGUAUGGUAAUGCAUGCCUGUAAUCCCAGAACUCAGGAGGCCGAAUCAGGAGGAUUACUGCAAGUUUGAGGCCAGCCUGGGCUACAUAUGAGUUCAAGGCCACCCUGGAAUACAUAGAGAAACCCUAUCUCAACUCCCUCCCCACAAAAAAAAAUCACACAUUUAUUCCUUUACAAUUCUGGAAUUUUAAAAUUCAAAAUGAGUCUUACAGAAAUAAAAGAAGGUGUCAGCAGAUUUCCAGAAAGAAUCCAGCUUCUAGAGGCACUCAUAGCUCUUUCCUCCAUCCUUAAAACC
Long non-coding RNA from Heterocephalus glaber (naked mole-rat), 502 nucleotides. NCBI's taxonomy places the organism in Eukaryota, Metazoa, Chordata, Mammalia, Rodentia, Bathyergidae. The record is from Ensembl.